This 475-nucleotide ribosomal RNA is filed under the name uncultured bacterium. RNAcentral describes it as "bacterial SSU rRNA". It matches the Rfam family "Bacterial small subunit ribosomal RNA", at positions 915 to 1391 of the family's 1533-position model. The record is from RNAcentral.
GGGGGCCCGCAAGCGGUGGAGCAUGUGGUUUAAUUCGAUGCAACGCGAAGAACCUUACCUACUCUUGACAUCCAGAGAAUUCGCUAGAGAUAGCUUAGUGCCUUCGGGAGCUCUGAGACAGGUGCUGCAUGGCUGUCGUCAGCUCGUGUUGUGAAAUGUUGGGUUAAGUCCCGCAACGAGCGCAACCCUUAUCCUUGUUUGCCAGCACGUAAUGGUGGGAACUCCAGGGAGACUGCCGGUGAUAAACCGGAGGAAGGUGGGGACGACGUCAAGUCAUCAUGGCCCUUACGAGUAGGGCUACACACGUGCUACAAUGGCGUAUACAGAGGGCUGCAAGCUAGCGAUAGUGAGCGAAUCCCACAAAGUACGUCGUAGUCCGGAUUGGAGUCUGCAACUCGACUCCAUGAAGUCGGAAUCGCUAGUAAUCGUGAAUCAGAAUGUCACGGUGAAUACGUUCCCGGGCCUUGUACACACC